RNAcentral lists this ribosomal RNA (719 nucleotides) under uncultured Streptomyces sp. RNAcentral describes it as "bacterial SSU rRNA". It matches the Rfam family "Bacterial small subunit ribosomal RNA", at positions 48 to 784 of the family's 1533-position model. Lineage: Bacteria; Bacillati; Actinomycetota; Actinomycetes; Kitasatosporales; Streptomycetaceae. The record is from RNAcentral.
UUAACACAUGCAAGUCGAACGAUGAAGCCCUUCGGGGUGGAUUAGUGGCGAACGGGUGAGUAACACGUGGGCAAUCUGCCCUUCACUCUGGGACAAGCCCUGGAAACGGGGUCUAAUACCGGAUAACACUCUGUCCCGCAUGGGACGGGGUUAAAAGCUCCGGCGGUGAAGGAUGAGCCCGCGGCCUAUCAGCUUGUUGGUGGGGUAAUGGCCUACCAAGGCGACGACGGGUAGCCGGCCUGAGAGGGCGACCGGCCACACUGGGACUGAGACACGGCCCAGACUCCUACGGGAGGCAGCAGUGGGGAAUAUUGCACAAUGGGCGAAAGCCUGAUGCAGCGACGCCGCGUGAGGGAUGACGGCCUUCGGGUUGUAAACCUCUUUCAGCAGGGAAGAAGCGAAAGUGACGGUACCUGCAGAAGAAGCGCCGGCUAACUACGUGCCAGCAGCCGCGGUAAUACGUAGGGCGCAAGCGUUGUCCGGAAUUAUUGGGCGUAAAGAGCUCGUAGGCGGCUUGUCACGUCGGAUGUGAAAGCCCGGGGCUUAACCCCGGGUCUGCAUUCGAUACGGGCUAGCUAGAGUGUGGUAGGGGAGAUCGGAAUUCCUGGUGUAGCGGUGAAAUGCGCAGAUAUCAGGAGGAACACCGGUGGCGAAGGCGGAUCUCUGGGCCAUUACUGACGCUGAGGAGCGAAAGCGUGGGGAGCGAACAGGAUUAGAUA